This 432-nucleotide ribosomal RNA is filed under the name uncultured archaeon. RNAcentral's name for it is "bacterial SSU rRNA". It matches the Rfam family "Archaeal small subunit ribosomal RNA", at positions 471 to 903 of the family's 1478-position model. The record is from RNAcentral.
UAAAACCAGCACCUCAAGUGGUCAGGAUGAUUAUUGGGCCUAAAGCAUUCGUAGCCUGCUUGGCAAGUCCUCCGUUAAAUCCAACGAUUCAAUCGUUGGGCUGCGGGGGAUACUGUCCGGCUAGGGGGCGGGAGAGGCCGACGGUAUCCUCGGGGUAGGGGUGAAAUCCUAUAAUCCCGGGAGGACCACCAGUGGCGAAGGCUGUCGGCUAGAACGCGCUCGACGGUGAGGGAUGAAAGCUGGGGGAGCGAACCGGAUUAGAUACCCGGGUAGUCCCAGCUGUAAACGAUGCAGGCUAGGUGUUGGCGCGGCUACGUGCCGCUCCAGUGCCGCAGGGAAGCCGUUAAGCCUGCCGCCUGGGAAGUACGGCCGCAAGGCUGAAACUUAAAGGAAUUGGCGGGGGAGCACCACAAGGUGUGAAGCUUGCGGUUU